RNAcentral lists this ribosomal RNA (452 nucleotides) under Vibrio sp. MR07-02. Its description in RNAcentral is "bacterial SSU rRNA". It matches the Rfam family "Bacterial small subunit ribosomal RNA", at positions 95 to 543 of the family's 1533-position model. Lineage: Bacteria; Pseudomonadati; Pseudomonadota; Gammaproteobacteria; Vibrionales; Vibrionaceae. The record is from RNAcentral.
GCGGCGGACGGGUGAGUAAUGCCUGGGAAAUUGCCCUGAUGUGGGGGAUAACCAUUGGAAACGAUGGCUAAUACCGCAUAACGUCUACGGACCAAAGAGGGGGACCUUCGGGCCUCUCGCUUCAGGAUAUGCCCAGGUGGGAUUAGCUAGUUGGUGAGGUAAUGGCUCACCAAGGCGACGAUCCCUAGCUGGUCUGAGAGGAUGAUCAGCCACACUGGAACUGAGACACGGUCCAGACUCCUACGGGAGGCAGCAGUGGGGAAUAUUGCACAAUGGGCGCAAGCCUGAUGCAGCCAUGCCGCGUGUAUGAAGAAGGCCUUCGGGUUGUAAAGUACUUUCAGUCGUGAGGAAGGCGUUGAAGUUAAUAGCUUCNUCGNUUGACGUUAGCGACAGAAGAAGCACCGGCUAACUCCGUGCCAGCAGCCGCGGUAAUACGGAGGGUGCGAGCGUUA